AUGUCAGCCUGGAGGUUGCUGCUAGUAGAAGAGCUCCUUAGGCUGUGCUCUGCCUUUGGACUUUGCUUACAGGCAGAUGAAGGAAAGCCAUGUAUCUGCAUGUUGGCGUGCCUGGUGACAUGUUUCCAGUUCAGAUUUGUGUGGGCAUCUACAGUACCAGUGAAACAAAAAGGCCAUUGCCAGCCCUAUGUAAGCUCAGAGAAGCCUUGCCAUGAGCAUCCUACAGGCACAGUGAUGGACAGAAGAAGAGGUGAUGGCAUUAUGCUCUGUAAGAUGUGUGGGCAGGGUGGUUGGGGCUGAGUGCUGUCAUGCUUUAAUGCUCCCCAUGUGUUCACAGAAUGGCCAGGGCUGCUCUUUACUGCAGCUGGGGAGAGCUGAGGGAAAAUCCCUGAAUGCCAAGGAAAAAUUACUCUGAUUCAAUGGUCAUAAGGGUGCUUAUGCCAUCCUUGCCUAUGUGCUUGUUCUUGUCAGAGGAGUCAACUUGGACUGAUGCUUAAAGCAACCACAGACCCAUCUGAAGAGGCUUGCUGCCACUGUGGUAAUGUAACUGCCCAAACUGAGCAUAGUGAUCUGCAGCCUUUGCCCUAGUGGAGGUGUUUGCUGAUUUGCAAGUGCCCAGUGGUGGUCUGGGCUAUGUGCUCUGAUGCAGCAUGGCAGCAUCUUGAUUUCCAGUCUUUUGUGUGCGGAGAAGGGGGAAACAGCACAUGAAGCCCCUCUGCAUUUUCACCAUUUGUUAUGAGCAUUUUAUCUCCCACAUUCCUCUUCCAGGCACGUUUAAGAAAUCCUUUAACCUCUCCCUGCAGUCUCAGGUUUCCCCCGGCUUUCUUCAUUGCCGUUGGUUGCCCAACAUUUCCUCCUAGCCCCAGGAGCUCAGUGACUACUGAGGCACGUGAGCCAGCAGGCACAUAUGCAUCAUACAUGCUUUGCUGAUUGUCAUGGCCCAGUAACACAGUGAGGGAUGGCAGAUUGCUCUUAGGGUACCAGCCAAUCUCGGCCUAGCAUCUUGUAGCAGUGAGGUCCACAUGUUAACUGGGCAACCUGCAAAGCUCUGGUGAGCUGUUUUUCCUAUUUUAAUUGUGUUUUGGGGAGUAUUUGGGUAGCUACUAUUUGUUUAGUACCAAAGCAAAUGAGAAAACUUGUACUGCAUCACUUGUUGUUUUGUGCAUUUCUAGUAUAACCUAUUUUGAAGCAGCUGGCCCUUAAUCUUUCCUCCUGAUGACCUUGAGAACCCUUUUGUGCUUCUAACAACUUCUGGCA
Molecule: long non-coding RNA, 1257 nt
Filed under: Numida meleagris (helmeted guineafowl)
Lineage: Eukaryota; Metazoa; Chordata; Aves; Galliformes; Numididae
Description: lncRNA (ENSNMEG00000011435.1)
Source: RNAcentral